CGGGAACAGCUCAAAUUUGAAAUCUGGCCCUCGGGUCCGAGUUGUAAUUUGUAGAGGAUGCUUUUGGUGCGGUGCCUUCCGAGUUCCCUGGAACGGGACGCCUUAGAGGGUGAGAGCCCCGUACGGUUGGACGCCUAGCCUCUGUAAAGCUCCUUCGAC
RNAcentral lists this ribosomal RNA (159 nucleotides) under Nigrospora sp. RNAcentral's name for it is "partial large subunit ribosomal RNA". It matches the Rfam family "Eukaryotic large subunit ribosomal RNA", at positions 99 to 261 of the family's 3401-position model. The record is from RNAcentral. Lineage: Eukaryota; Fungi; Ascomycota; Sordariomycetes; Amphisphaeriales; Apiosporaceae.